ACAUGCAAGUCGAGGGGCAGCAUAAUGGAUAGCAAUAUCUAUGGUGGCGACCGGCGCACGGGUGCGUAACGCGUAUGCAACCUACCUUUAACAGGGGGAUAACACUGAGAAAUUGGUACUAAUACCCCAUAAUAUCAUAGAAGGCAUCUUUUAUGGUUGAAAAUUCCGAUGGUUAGAGAUGGGCAUGCGUUGUAUUAGCUAGUUGGUGGGGUAACGGCUCACCAAGGCGACGAUACAUAGGGGGACUGAGAGGUUAACCCCCCACACUGGUACUGAGACACGGACCAGACUCCUACGGGAGGCAGCAGUGAGGAAUAUUGGUCAAUGGACGCAAGUCUGAACCAGCCAUGCCGCGUGCAGGAUGACGGCUCUAUGAGUUGUAAACUGCUUUUGUACGAGGGUAAACUCACCUACGUGUAGGUGACUGAAAGUAUCGUAUUAAUAAGGAUCGGCUAACUCCGUGCCAGCAGCCGCGGUAAUACGGAGGAUUCAAGCGUUAUCCGGAUUUAUUGGGUUUAAAGGGUGCGUAGGCGGUUAGAUAAGUUAGAGGUGA
Molecule: ribosomal RNA, 553 nt
Filed under: uncultured bacterium
Lineage: Bacteria
Description: bacterial SSU rRNA
Rfam family: Bacterial small subunit ribosomal RNA
Source: RNAcentral